AAGUUGCAAAAACUAAAAGAAGAUAAGCCACAAAACAAAAAGAUAUGUUAAGAAGAGAAGGUACAAGAAGAUACCCUUAAAAGAUCGGUUAUAAGAAGAUAAGCCAAGGUGUUGGUAUUAACAAUAGUCCUGAAAAAAUGGUUGCUCCAUCUAUAACUCAAGAAAGGUAGAGAUUCUGCUGUUAUACCUGCCUAUUGCUGUUGUAAAUACUCCAAAUUUCAGGACAUUUAUUUGCUGAAAAUUUCAAACAAACUAUUUAGAAGCACGGUUUGGUUCUUAUCGAAAGUUUUCGAAUGGAAAUUAUCAUGUAUUAGUCCAAGAGAUAAAAGAAUCAGAAGCAAAAAACAUUAGUUUGUUAAAACAUUAUUUCUACUAAACUGAUUAAAUACAUGCUAACUGAUUUGUAUUUUUUCUAUGUGCUUGGAUGAGUUUUGUUACUUUAUUUUUUAGAAUCUUAUAUCAACUUUGACUUUAUUAUAAAAGUAGAAGGUUUAAAGUUUGUUUUAUGGUUGUUUUUUUCGCUCGGGGGGUGAGUGUGUUACAGUU
Non-coding RNA from Hydra vulgaris (swiftwater hydra), 546 nucleotides. The record is from RefSeq and is a predicted model, not a curated record. NCBI's taxonomy places the organism in Eukaryota, Metazoa, Cnidaria, Hydrozoa, Anthoathecata, Hydridae.